UUGAACGCUGGCGGAAUGCUUUACACAUGCAAGUCGAGCGGCAGCGCGGGGGCAACCCUGGCGGCGAGCGGCGGACGGGUGAGUAAUAUAUUGGAACGUAUCCAGUAAUGGGGAAUAACCUAGCGAAAGUUAGGCUAAUACCGCAUACGCCCUGAGGGGGAAAGUGGGGGACCGUAAGGCCUCACGUUAUUGGAGCGGCCGAUAUCCGAUUAGCUUGUUGGUGAGGUAAAAGCUCACCAAGGCGACGAUCGGUAGCUGGUCUGAGAGGACGACCAGCCACACUGGGACUGAGACACGGCCCAGACUCCUACGGGAGGCAGCAGUGGGGAAUUUUGGACAAUGGGCGCAAGCCUGAUCCAGCCAUUCCGCGUGAGUGAAGAAGGCCUUCGGGUUGUAAAGCUCUUUCAGCAGGGAAAAAACGGUUCGGGUCAAUACCCCGGACUAAUGAUGGUACCUGAAGAAGAAGCACCGGCUAACUACGU
Molecule: ribosomal RNA, 482 nt
Filed under: uncultured bacterium
Lineage: Bacteria
Description: bacterial SSU rRNA
Rfam family: Bacterial small subunit ribosomal RNA
Source: RNAcentral